Long non-coding RNA from Alligator mississippiensis (American alligator), 8296 nucleotides. RefSeq lists it as uncharacterized. NCBI's taxonomy places the organism in Eukaryota, Metazoa, Chordata, Crocodylia, Alligatoridae. The record is from RefSeq and is a predicted model, not a curated record. The transcript has 7 exons.
UUUAGCUCCAGCUGUGGCAAGAGACUGCAGACCAGUCAGCAGUUCUGCUAAAGCAAUCAUUCAGCUCUGCAGAUGUACAGCCUAUUCACAGAGGAAGACAAGGCACCAACAAUAAAACAAUUGUCAGAGAGAUGCUGCAGAAACCAGCUGUGGGACACGAGCUUUGUUAUUGUGUAUAUUAACAAUGCGCAUAAUGACAUUGGGAUCGAGGUUUUCAGUCUUUUUACAUGGGUGCUUUAGGUUGCUUUUCAUUCGUGGAGCCUUGUGUGAGGGGCAUAUUACUACAGAUCUGACCACCCCAAAGCUGGAUUGUAGGAGCACAAGCUUAGGGCAGAGAAGAAGUGGAAUGAGAGUAUGGAAACUUCUGGAGAAAAGGAAAAGCAGCAAAGAGCCAACACAAUGUAAGAAUCAAAGAAACAAUCAGGUACUCCACAAACAGAUGGAGAAACCGGUACAAAGGAGCGAAUAAAUUAUUUGCCCAAGUCUUUCAGAAGCUGACCAAUAUCAGAGCCAAGAACAAAAACCAGGUCACUUGAGUUCCAGUCAGGUGGUCUAUUUUAUAAGCUUCCCUGCCUCCGUCCUUCCAGGUUCUGUGACAGCAUUAGUUUGUCUGGACUAUAUCACAGGACAGUUGCCUCCUCCACAUACAUGACAUGGAUGCGGGUCACCUGAUGAGAAGCUCUUCAAUAUUAUAUGUUUCCUCCUUGUUUGAUGUGUGGCUUUAGACCUCAUUUACUGCCGUGCGGUCAUGCAUUUGUUCUUGGACUUUCCGCCCAUUUUCACUAUGCCCUUUCAGUUUCUACAAGAAAUGAGAGAGAGAGAGACCCCCUCCCCACCACCCCUUCCAAUAUAACCACCCACCUGUAGUGAGGACACUCUACUGAGAUGUGGUGGAAUCAAAGUUUAAGUCUCUGCUGUAAAUCAGUUAUUCAUAUUCCACUAGUGAUCCCAGUAAAUGCUCUUGCCAUUGACCAGCUAGCUAUUUUGUCAUCUUUCCCCCAUUUAAGAUGUUGGAAAAGAUUUUGUUUUGCAACAAACUACAGACAGCUUCUGAACCUUACAUUAUUUUGUGAACCAAACCUGAUCUCCAGCCAUCCUUAAAGAUGAGACUCCAACAGGUCCUGUUCCAGGCUUGUGACUAGAGUAUUAGUGAGCAUGGACAAUUCUGGCUGCUUUCUCCAAGCUUGACUUCUAUUUUACCCUAUCAACCCUGCCUCUGCCCCACAGGGCUGGUCCAAUGGUAAUCGGCAUCCUAGAUGAAGUAUGUACCUCAGUGCCCCCACCACUUCCAAUAUAGAGGAAAAUAAGAAGUCUAGAAUGAACUUUUAUGGCUCAGUCUGGGGAGCAGCAUGGAGACCGGCCCCUGCAGCCCCAGCGACAGCCCUGGCUCUGCCUCUGGCUCCAGCUCUGGCCCCGGCUCCACAGGGUGGGUGCGCUGGGCAGGAGUGAGGGGCACCACUGGCCUGGGGGCAAGGGCUGCAGGUCGGAAGUGAGCUGCACUAGCAGGGCUGGGAGCCAGGCUGGUCCAAAGUGGAGACAUAGCUGGCCAGGGUUGUUAUUUAGAAUGAUAUUCCUGUUGUUUUGUUCUGCAUAUAAUUUUGCCCCCCCGCCCCCCCCCAAUUUUGGUGCCCUAGGCGACCGCCUUGUUCACCUAAUGUUUGGACCUGCCCUGCUGUUCCAUCCCUAGCUCCUUAUUUCAGUUCCCUUCUCCUUGCCUACUGAGUAGCAGUCUUUUCAACUCAGCCUCAUUCUUCUUGCUGAACUCAUCCUAUUCUUGCCAUUUUUUACUCCCCACCAACCCCAGUCCAACUCCAGUUUAAUUGUCCCACCGGGCCCUGUCUUGUCCUGAUUUCUUGUCCUGAGUAUCUUUGUCCCACAUUGUCUUUCCUAAUUCAGUUCACCCUCCUGGACAUCUUGUACAAUCCCAGUCUCUAGCCCCCUACUUCUUUAUCCCAAUGUCUUUGUCCAGCCAGUCCCAGUUGCCCUGCCUGCCCCAACUACCUCACCAGAGCUCCUUGCCCUCUCCAGGCUCCUUGUUCAUCCCACCUCCAAGUUGGCUUUUGCUCCCUCUGUUUCAACUCAAGCACCUCCCUUCUCUGUGUUCAAAAAAGCCACACGGACAAGUGGUAAAAAGGCCUAUCCCUGCUUCACAGAGUCAGAGUAACAGAGCUGUUCCAGGAAAAAUUUCCAAGAAAAAAAAAGCAGCCCAUAGCAGACAACAGGCUUGGAAAAUUGGUCACAAAUGAUUAAAUGGGGACUAUUGAGCAACCUGAAUAAGAGAAGUUUCAUUUGAAAGGGGUGUUGUACAUGAUACUCCACAACAGUCUUUAGUUACUGGGGACAAGGGAUAACAGCCAUGAGUAUGACCCUACAACAUUGUGGGCACAUCUACACAAGAUGUUUGCUGUGGAGCUGCCUAAUUAGUUCCACGGUAAAGUCUCAGCAUACAUGCAUGUGGUCCUAUUAGGCUGCAGUAAACGAAUUAACUCUGCCAUAGUUUAAUAUCUGUAAACACAAAUACUAUCCUAUGGCAGCAUUUUUUAGUGUGUAGAUGUAGGCGUUCUUUAGUACGUAGUACAUGUAGAUGCUGACAGGGCUGGCAGGGGCCUGAGGGUGCUUCAUUAUAGGGGGUCUGCCUGCCAGCCAGCCCCACACUAGAGCACCCUCAUGCCCCAGUCAGCCUCUUUGCAACAGACUGAGCUGGGUCAAAGCAGCCCCAGGCUGGCUGGCUGACUUGUCCACCGGGGCCUCUUUCCAGCCAGCGCUGCUCUGACCUGGCUCAAUGUGCUGCAGUCCCAGGAGCAACAACUGCUGGCAUGACAUGCACUGGAAUUUAUAGCUCCAUGCUAAUAGCAUGUGUAGACGUGCUGUGUAUCAGCUGCUUUGUUCCUGCGUGCCUGAACCUUAUUCUCAGAUGCUGCAAGCCCCAGAAUAUGGGCUGCUGCUACAUGAUGAAGUGGGGGAUGGCUACCCUACCAGAGUCCCCUUACUUCCAUCCUCAGCACCCACUUGUGCAUUUGGGCAGUACCAGACAGGUUCUCACCCAGCAGGCAAAGACUUGUCUGCAUUUGUAGAAGAAAAAUAAUUUCUCUGCAACAUCAAACUAGCAGCAACAUUUUUUUCCUAAGCAGAAUUUACAAACCAUUACCCAUCACAUCCAAAGUAUUACUGGAGCUGUCAGGAGGAAGGAAUCAGUGUUGAAACAUCAUUCCACUGGGAAAUGUAAAAUGGCAACAAGUUGGUCCCUCUACAGCGUGUCCAAUACUUAAUAUAAAAUGAUGUACAACUAACCUGCAAUGAGUUCUGAGCAGCAGCUCUCUUCUGGGAUGCUCAGUUGUGGUUUUCUUGAUUGUUCUGAAAAAUAGCUUUCUGGGGUUUUUUACAUAGAUUAAUGAAAAAGCCAUGUUGUCUUCAGCUGUGAAUGUAAGCGUGGUAGGAUUAUGUUUCAUCCUUCCUAAUUGUUUCAUUAAAGCUGUGAUUUUCUCCAUGUUUUAUUUCCUUAUGCCCCUUUCAACCUGUGCCUUCAAGCCAACUGGCAGUAUUGACAACUAAAUAUUGAUGCUGUGGUCAAGCCCAGUUCCCUCACCCUUUCCUCCACCCAUGACUUCUUUGUAUCUCUCCCAUCACACAGUUUCCCCUCCAACUUCAUUUUAUACGCAGUAUCUAACUCAUUUGCUUUUGCUCAUGGGCCAUGUCUAUAUAAUGUCCAGUGAGUCUACAGAUGAUUUCAGUUUUGUGCUAUUGUUUUCUCUGUCAAAAAGCCUUUUCUCCUCCCAUACCCACAAACCAAGUUGCUCUCUUGAAACCCUUCUAGCCUCCUCCACUUCUUUUUAUGAGGUCUUGUCAUUCUUUUCCACGAGACUUAUAGGAUAAAACAACAUUUCUCCCUUUCUCCAUUCUGACUCCGAGGACUUUAACACACUGUCUGCCUUCUAAUUCCUUUCUGCUGCCCCUGAAAUCCCAUCCUUUCCUGGGCAAUUGCUCUUCCCCUCUUCCAUUCUUCUGGUUCAUUUCCUCAAAAUUCAAUCAUGUCUAGUUUGGUGUUAUGAGGAGGAAUUUUUCUUCGUAAAGCCAACACUAUUUUUCUUAGAAUUUGCAACCCAUUACCCAGGACAUCCAUUGUAUUGCUGGAGCUGUCCCUACCUGGUUCUUCAACCAUCUUCUCACAUCUCUUUUCUUCUUCACCUCUAAACUCACUGAACAUGCUGCUAAAACCAGUUAUCUUAAAUUCCUCACUCUCCCCCACUAUUCUGGAUCCUUUCCCUCUUUUCUCUACCGUAACUACAGCCAGUGAGCUAUCUAUCCUCCUCAUCUCCAUCCCCCUCAAUACCUCCAGUACUUUUAAGGGGCAGCUAUUUUUGUGAUAUCUUUUAUUAGACCAACUGUAUAGUUGGGAGAGCUGUUGGACAAGCUUUUGGGCAUCAGAUAUCUAUAUUCAGGUCACUUUUGGGCACUUGAUUACUGAAAGCUUGUGCAAUAGCUCUCCCAACUAUAUGGUUGGUUCAAUAAAAGAUAUUGCUGUACAAUAAAUCAUUGCCUCUUGGACACUUGCUGGACUAUCAUGGCUACAAUAGCACUCUAACUCCCCUCCUUUUGACAACUUCUGAUACUUUCUCAGCAGUUUGUGCUCUGUCCUCUCCUGGUUAUAUUUGGACACCUCUGCCUCUUCAUAGGACCUGCUGCUCUCUUCUGUUUUCUGUCAGGUUUUCCUUGGCCCCCUCCAUUUUUCCUUUCAUAUCCUUUCUCUGUGUGACCCCGUCAGUUGAUAUGGCCUCAGUGACCAUCUUUAUACUGAUAGCUGAUAAAUACAGCUCUAAAUUCUGGACUUCCUCCCCAAAGUGUCUCCGGUUCCUGGAUGCAUCAGAGGGAAUCAGACUCUAUUUUUCCUCCAAAGCCUUCUCCAUCAGGGUUUGAACAUAUCAACCAGUCACCUUCACCUUUGGUUCCUCUAUGCUCUCAUCCAAGUUGUAUCUGAAUUCUGUCAUUUUUCUGUAUAACCCUACUAAAAACCAUUGCUUCAUGUCUAUUCAGGCACCAAAAUAACUUACUCAGGGUCUCGCCAUUUCUCACGUGGAUGACUGCAACCUCCGCCACUUCGUCCUCCUUGACACUCAAUGCACCUCUAUGCAUUUCUCAUAUUGUAACCUGUCCAGUGCAGGGGACAAACCCACUGCUUCUUCCACUAGGGACUCUCUUUUGCCCUGCCACAAUAAUCUGUUUACUUCAAAGGAAGUUAAGCAUGUGUUUUGCUCAAUCAGGAUGCUUAAUGAAAAGCAAACUGCUGAAAUAUAUACUUUGCUCAAGGUAGGAGAGGAAACAAAUGAGUGUCGUGCAGUAGCAUGCAGAGGUGGCAACAGCUUUGGCAGUUCAGGAGAAGAGACCUAUGAGGAAGAAAUGAAGGGCGUCUAGAGAAUAUGGUGCUGCCAGGAGAUUCGCUGAUGUGGCAGGAAAAAAGGAGAGAAGGACAAAUGAAACCUUGACUGAAGACACUCAAAAGGAAUCAGUGGACUGUCAGGUUGGUGACCUUUAAUAAAUGUAAUAAAGUGGCAAAUUAUGGGAGCCAACCUCACGGGCUGAUGACAGCAAUAGUAGGGGCAGUAAGGGAAGGUCUUUAAACUGGGGCCUCUUCUCCUUUUGAGGCUGAUCUUUCAAUAGAAAUAUUACAGGAAAAGCACAUAUGUACAGGACACUUGUUCUAUUUAACUGCCUCCUAUUUAUCUUGCACUUCUAUGUAAAUUCAGUCGAGUUAUUUGAACAUAACUGUAGCAGAAAAUGCAUUUCCUAUGUGUCCCAAGCACUUGUAAAAAUUAGAUCCUAGUCUAGCUCAUCUUUACAGUGUAGUAGAAGUCCUAGGGCAGGAAUUUUCCAAUACCUAGUAGACAUUAUUGCCUAUUAAGAUGAUCUGUUGCAACUACUGAUCCUCCCUCAGGAUACAGUGGAGAGUUACUCCUUAUGUAUUAUUUAGGUAGCGCUCUACACUGGGUAAAAUAUAUAUGGUGAUCCUGAAAGGAUUAUUUUUGCACUUCGCUGUGUUCAGGUUAUUUCACUUGCUACUGUAAUGUUUGUUUUUGUGGGUUUUUCAUCAGACUGUUCUUUAGUGGGUAGUUUGUACCGCAUAGUAUGUCACAUGUGACUUUUGAGGAAAAAAAAUAAUACAGAUAAAAUUGAAAUGGAACAGAUUUCCUUAAAAGAGAUAAAGAGAGAUGUUUGUCACUCAGCCUGUAAAUCAGUAUACAGUAUAUUUGCAUAAUGCAAGUAUCAUACUGCUUUUUUAUAGUGUUUGUAUUUGAAAACCAAGUACAGUGGAAGUUAAAAAUUCUCCCUGGGCUUUCUGGCAUUAGGCUCUUUUAUUUAGGCUAUAACUUCAUGCUGUUUAGACUACAAAGGGCCUGGUUUUCACUAAUGUGAAGGCCUCUUACGCUAUCUUGGCAGAGUGAAGGAGUGUAAUGGAAAGAAGACUUAUCACAGAGUGGACUGAAUUUUCUGGGCAAGUUGUCCCAUUUAUCAGACCUACUUGUACCCAUUUAUCUGCAUUUGGGUAACUCGGCUUACCUGGGAGGGUGGCUAGGUCAGGGGUUGCUAUGAAGCUGACGGAGGUCUUCUCUGACCUGGGAUUUACCUGCAGUGAGGGCUGGGUUUUAAAAAAAAUGUUAAGAAGCAACUGGGGAGGCUAAACAGAAGGGCUUGGUGCUUGCAGAAGGCAAUAGCCCCUGCUGCAGAGCAUGGAUGGAAUUUGCCCCGUAAGGGGGGAAGGAAUCUCUCUUCUAUACCUGUGUUGAGGAUGGGUUUGAUCAGACAGGGGAAGCCCCAUUGCAAGGUUGCUGCAUGUCUGGUCUGGUUUUGUUGAGUGAAACCAGACCUUAGCAAGAGUGAGUAUCUGACGUGUGAUAUCUGAGCCAGUUUUGAGAACCCCAAGACUGGAGGGCCAUGAAGCAGAUGCGGGGGUUCAUGCUGGAUGAGGUGUUAUAAAGGUAAUUGCAACUUCUGGUUUGGUAGUAUAUUUCCUGGGUGAUAUAAAAAGUCUGUAACUAUCUCUUUGAUCUACUCAGUAACUAUGCAGCCUUCCUGCAGUAAAGACAGUGUAUAGAGCAGAGAACAAAAUGGGGCUAGAUCAUAGUCCUCCAGGCUUCUGCUCAUUCCCUGCCCUGGGAGUGGAAGUAAUUAUACUCUACCCUUUCCCAGGAGCCAGGCACCCUGUGAGCUACUGAGUGGGCAGGCAGAGCUAGGAUGCCUAGCUCACUCAGCAGGUGGAGGAGUAUUGGUUAGCUAGGUGUCUUUUCCUUCCAAACUGUCCCCCAGGGUAAUUACUAAUAUUACUAAAUAUUAGUAAUAAAGUCAUAAUCUGAGAAAGGUGAAGCAAGUGAUGAAGGGGCUCUGCUCCCUUAGAUUGCUGAGCCCAGGCCUCCUUUUAGAUGAACGAUAACCCAAGGAUUAGUUCACUAACUUGGUCUUUGCAGACUCUGUUCAAAUCCCUACUUCACCAUAGCUUUCCUCUGUGUAAGUCACUUCACCUUGGUGUGUGUCAGCUGCCCAUCUGUAAAAUGGAGAAUAGCCCUCCCUCCUCUCACGGGGCAAUGUGUGAGAACGAUUAUAUUAAGGAAUGGGAAGUGCUCAGAUCUGUAGUACCAGAGGCCAGAGAAGCCCCAUAGAUAAAAUAAAAUAAAUACAUCAAUAAAAUAAAUCCUUCUGUGACACUCUAGCUCUUUAUUUUAAAAUAAAAUGCAGAAAGCCUUUUUUCCCUAAGUUUCUCUAUGACUUCUGCAGAGUUGGUUCAUCUGUGCAGACCGUGAAGUCUGUGAUUUGAUUAGGGAGGCCAAGAUGCUAACAACUGAACAGGAACAGCUAUACAUUUGUUCCAUUAACACGUAACUCAUUUGCCCUUGAAUUGGCUCCAUUUGCUGUUUCUGAUACUGGAAACAAAUCCUAAAUACAUGAGUGAGGCAGGGAAGAGAAGGAAAUAUUAAUAAGUAAUGUUGUGUUUUAUGGGUUGGAAAUUCUGCUCUUGGAGCUCUUGGUAGAGGUGAUCAGGCACUCCAGGGGGCCAUCGCUUCAUGUGGCACAAUGGACCAAUUCUGCAAUGCAUUGGAUUCACUAAACCAUUUAGAACAAAUAUAAAGCUGUAUGGAUUUGGGUUUCUUAUCUGAGCAGGAAAAAAAAUAUGCCUUAAUGUGGAACAUCUUGAUCUGAAUGCAGACUAUUAAUUUUGGUGGUCAUUGUCAAAGGGGUUUUUGCUGUGGGUUAUUUUUUGGCUUUUCACAUGUGGCGAGUUAAAGUGUUGGCUCUAGUCCUGAGUGAA